AUUGAACGCUGGCGGCAGGCCUAACACAUGCGAGUCGAGCGGAUGAAGGGAGCUUGCUCCUGGAUUCAGCGGCGGACGGGUGAGUAAUGCCUAGGAAUCUGCCUGGUAGUGGGGGAUAACGUCCGGAAACGGGCGCUAAUACCGCAUACGUCCUGAGGGAGAAAGUGGGGGAUCUUCGGACCUCACGCUAUCAGAUGAGCCUAGGUCGGAUUAGCUAGUUGGUGGGGUAAAGGCCUACCAAGGCGACGAUCCGUAACUGGUCUGAGAGGAUGAUCAGUCACACUGGAACUGAGACACGGUCCAGACUCCUACGGGAGGCAGCAGCGGGGAAUAUUGGACAAUGGGCGAAAGCCUGAUCCAGCCAUGCCGCGUGUGUGAAGAAGGUCUUCGGAUUGUAAAGCACUUUAAGUUGGGAGGAAGGGCAGUAAGUUAAUACCUUGCUGUUUUGACGUUACCAACAGAAUAAGCACCGGCUAACUUCGUG
Molecule: ribosomal RNA, 484 nt
Filed under: uncultured bacterium
Lineage: Bacteria
Description: partial 16S ribosomal RNA
Rfam family: Bacterial small subunit ribosomal RNA
Source: RNAcentral